AAGUCGUAACAAGGUUUCCGUAGGUGAACCUGCGGAAGGAUCAUUACCGAGUUAGGGUUGCCCUUCAGGGUGCCCGACCUCCCAACCCUUUGUCUAUGUUACCUUUAGUUGCUUCGGUGGGCCGGUCGACCUUCGACCGCCGGUCUUUCUGGACUGGAGAGCUCGCCUGCCGAUGGCCUCAACAUAAACUCUUAGUAUUAAACCUGUCGUCUAAAUACUUGAUAUAUAAAUCAAAACAAAACUUUCAACAACGGAUCUCUUGGUUCUGGCAUCGAUGAAGAACGCAGCAAAAUGCGAUAAGUAAUGCGAAUUGCAGAAUUUCCGUGAGUCAUCGAAUCUUUGAACGCACAUUGCGCCCAUUGGUAUUCCGAUGGGCAUGCCUGUUCGAGCGUCAUUAUCCUCUCUCAAACCUCGGGUUUGGUGUUGGACCGGUGUUGUUCGGGUGACUGAACAACUGGUCUCAAAGACAAUGACGGCGUCCGUGGGACCCUCUUCGCAACGAGCUUCUCGAAGCACGCGUCGAGUAUCAAGGACCUUCCGGGCCGGUCUACCUUUUAUAUUUUCUUAGGUUGACCUCGGAUCAGGUAGGAAUACCCGCUGAACUUAA
RNAcentral lists this ribosomal RNA (607 nucleotides) under uncultured fungus. RNAcentral describes it as "eukaryotic LSU rRNA". The stretch from base 240 to 394 matches the Rfam family "5.8S ribosomal RNA". Lineage: Eukaryota; Fungi. The record is from RNAcentral.